Molecule: ribosomal RNA, 440 nt
Filed under: uncultured bacterium
Lineage: Bacteria
Description: partial 16S ribosomal RNA
Rfam family: Bacterial small subunit ribosomal RNA
Source: RNAcentral
CCUACGGGCGGCAGCAGUGGGGAAUAUUGCACAAUGGGGGAAACCCUGAUGCAGCGACGCCGCGUGAGUGAAGAAGUAUUUCGGUAUGUUAAGCUCUAUCAGCAGGGAAGAGAAUGACGGUACCUGAGUGCGAAGCCCCGGCUCACUACGUGCCAGCAGCCGCGGUAAUACGCAGGGGGCAAGCGUUAUCCGGAUUUACUGGGUGUAAAGGGAGCGUAGACGGCGAAGAAAGUCUGAAGUGAAAGCCCGGGGCUCAACCGCGGAACUGCUUUGGAAACUGUGUGGCUGGAGUACCGGAGAGGUAAGCGGAAUGCGUGGUGUAGCGGUGAAAUGCGUAGAUAUUGGGAGGAACACCAGUGGCGAAGGCGGCUUACUGGACGGUAACUGACGUUGAGGCUCGAAAGCGUGGGGAGCAAACAGGAUUAGAUACCCCAGUAGUC